UCAGAGAUCAGCUGCUGAUAGUACUGCUGUU
This 31-nucleotide non-coding RNA is filed under the name Homo sapiens (human). Lineage: Eukaryota; Metazoa; Chordata; Mammalia; Primates; Hominidae. The record is from RNAcentral.